CCUACGGGUGGCUGCAGUGGGGAAUAUUGGACAAUGGGGGGAACCCUGAUCCAGCCAUGCCGCGUGUGUGAAGAAGGCCCUCGGGUUGUAAAGCACUUUCAGUGAGGAAGAACGCCUGGUGGUUAAUACCCAUCAGGAAAGACAUCACUCACAGAAGAAGCACCGGCUAACUCCGUGCCAGCAGCCGCGGUAAUACGGAGGGUGCGAGCGUUAAUCGGAAUUACUGGGCGUAAAGCGCGCGUAGGUGGCUUGAUAAGCCGGUUGUGAAAGCCCCGGGCUCAACCUGGGAACGGCAUCCGGAACUGUCAAGCUAGAGUGCAGGAGAGGAAGGUAGAAUUCCCGGUGUAGCGGUGAAAUGCGUAGAGAUCGGGAGGAAUACCAGUGGCGAAGGCGGCCUUCUGGACUGACACUGACACUGAGGUGCGAAAGCGUGGAUAGCAAACAGGAUUAGAUACCCUAGUAGUC
This 465-nucleotide ribosomal RNA is filed under the name Vreelandella stevensii. Its description in RNAcentral is "partial 16S ribosomal RNA". It matches the Rfam family "Bacterial small subunit ribosomal RNA", at positions 338 to 795 of the family's 1533-position model. The record is from RNAcentral. Lineage: Bacteria; Pseudomonadati; Pseudomonadota; Gammaproteobacteria; Oceanospirillales; Halomonadaceae.